GGUUGCGAUCAUACCAGCACUAAUGCACCGGAUCCCAUCAGAACUCCGCAGUUAAGCGUGCAUGGGCGAGAGUAGUACUAGGAUGGGUGACCCCCUGGGAAGUCCUCGUGUUGCAACCCC
This 120-nucleotide ribosomal RNA is filed under the name Helianthus annuus (common sunflower). The record is from RNAcentral. Lineage: Eukaryota; Viridiplantae; Streptophyta; Magnoliopsida; Asterales; Asteraceae.